Triticum dicoccoides is the source of this 235-nucleotide long non-coding RNA. RefSeq lists it as uncharacterized. The transcript is spliced from 3 exons. The record is from RefSeq and is a predicted model, not a curated record. Lineage: Eukaryota; Viridiplantae; Streptophyta; Magnoliopsida; Poales; Poaceae.
AACUCUCAUCCGUGAAAUAUAACUCUCAUCCAUGAGUUGAUUUGAUAGAUCCGAAAUUCAUAAUAUUGAAUUGAUUCAGUAUUAUCAGAAUGCAAGCCCUACCUUUGAAUUUACAAGAUACCCCUUUUUCCUCUCCAUGGGAUUACAUCCCGAGUUAUUGUGAAAAUAAAAAAUAAAGAGGUUAUGGAAGUCAAUAUUCUCGCAUUUAUUGCUACUGCACUGUUCAUUCAAGUUC